AUAAACCCGGGAAACUGGGUAUAAUACCCGAUAGGUCUCGAUUGCUGGAAUGCAUCGAGAUUUAAAGCUCCGGCGCCUAAGGAUGGGUCUGCGGCCUAUCAGGUAGUAGUGGGUGUAGCGUACUACUAGCUACGACGGGUACGGGUUGUGAGAGCAAGAGCCCGGAGAUGGAUUCUGAGACACGAAUCCAGGCCCUACGGGGUGCAGCAGGCGCGAAAACUUUACAAUGCUGGCAACAGCGAUAAGGGAACCUCGAGUGCCAGGUUACAAAUCUGGCUGUCGAGAUGCCUAAAAAGCAUUUCAUAGCAAGGGCCGGGCAAGACCGGUGCCAGCCGCCGCGGUAACACCGGCGGCUCGAGUGGUAACCGUUAUUAUUGGGUCUAAAGGGUCUGUAGCCGGCCGGAUAAGUCUCUUGAGAAAUCUGGCAGCUUAACUGUCAGGCUUUCAGGAGAUACUGUCUGGCUCGAGGCCGGGAGAGGUGAGAGGUACUUCAGGGGUAGGGGUGAAAUCUUGUAAUCCUUGAAGGACCACCAGUGGCGAAGGCGUCUCACCAGAACGGACCUGACGGCAAGGGACGAAAGCUAGGGGCACGAACCGGAUUAGAUACCCGGGUAGUCCUAGCCGUAAACGAUACUCGCUAGGUGUCGGCCACGGUGCGACCGUUGUCGGUGCCGUAGGGAAGCCGUGAAGCGAGCCACCUGGGAAGUACGGCCGCAAGGCUGAAACUUAAAGGAAUUGGCGGGGGAGCACCACAACGGGUGGAGCUUGCGGUUUAAUUGGAUUCAACGCCGGAAAUCUUACCGGGACCGACAGCAAUAUGAAGGCCAGGCUGAAGACUUUGCCGGAUUAGCUGAGAGGUGGUGCAUGGCCGUCGUCAGUUCGUACUGUGAAGCAUCCUGUUAAGUCAGGCAACGAGCGAGACCCA
RNAcentral lists this ribosomal RNA (925 nucleotides) under uncultured methanogenic archaeon. Its description in RNAcentral is "bacterial SSU rRNA". It matches the Rfam family "Archaeal small subunit ribosomal RNA", at positions 126 to 1054 of the family's 1478-position model. The record is from RNAcentral. Lineage: Archaea; Methanobacteriati; Methanobacteriota.